RNAcentral lists this ribosomal RNA (439 nucleotides) under uncultured Bacillota bacterium. RNAcentral describes it as "bacterial SSU rRNA". It matches the Rfam family "Bacterial small subunit ribosomal RNA", at positions 917 to 1359 of the family's 1533-position model. The record is from RNAcentral. Lineage: Bacteria; Bacillati; Bacillota.
GGGCCCGCACAAGCAGUGGAGUAUGUGGUUUAAUUCGAAGCAACGCGAAGAACCUUACCAAAUCUUGACAUCCUGCUAACGAGGUGGAAACACGUUAGGUGCCCUUCGGGGAAAGCAGAGACAGGUGGUGCAUGGUUGUCGUCAGCUCGUGUCGUGAGAUGUUGGGUUAAGUCCCGCAACGAGCGCAACCCUUACGGUUAGUUGCUACGCAAGAGCACUCUAGCCGGACUGCCGUUGACAAAACGGAGGAAGGUGGGGACGACGUCAAAUCAUCAUGCCCCUUAUGAUUUGGGCUACACACGUACUACAAUGGCGUUUAACAGAGGGAAGCGAAGGAGCGAUCCGGAGCAAAUCCCCAAAAGGCGUCUCAGUUCAGAUUGCAGGCUGCAACCCGCCUGCAUGAAGUCGGAAUUGCUAGUAAUCGCGAAUCAGCAUGUCG